This 406-nucleotide ribosomal RNA is filed under the name uncultured bacterium. RNAcentral describes it as "partial 16S ribosomal RNA". It matches the Rfam family "Bacterial small subunit ribosomal RNA", at positions 28 to 526 of the family's 1533-position model. The record is from RNAcentral.
GACGAACGCUGGCGGCGUGCUUAACACAUGCAAGUCGAACGAGUGGCGAACGGGUGAGUAAUACGUGAGUAACCUGCCCUCUUUUUGGGAUAAGCCUUGGAAACGGGGUCUAAUACCGGAUAAAGGGGGAUGGGCUCGCGGCCUAGCCGCUUGUUGGUGGGGUGAUGGCCUACCAAGGCGGUGACGGGUCGCCGGCCUGAGAGGGUGACCGGGCACAGUGGGACGGUGAUACGGCCCAGAGUCCGCCGGGGGGCAGCAGUGGGGGAUAUUGGACAAUGGCCGAAAGCCUGAUGCAGCGACGCCGCGUGGGGGAUGAAGGCUGUCGGGUUGUAAACCUCUUUCGCUAUCGAAGGGGUAGGUGGAGAAGAAGCGCCGGCUAACUACGUGCCAGCAGCCGCGGUAAUAC